GUGAAGCUGCUGUGUGAUUUUCUGGAGAGUCCACACUGUAGACUGGAGGCUCUGAGAAAACCUGCCCAGGAUUUCAGUCCUACAUAGUGCAAGAGAAAGCUUCUAUGGGCCAGAGUGGCAAUGACGUCAUUCACCAUGAUUACAAAUUGAGUUCCUGCAGUUUGUCAGAGAUCAGCUGUGCUUCUCUAGCCUCAGCUCUGAAG
This is a long non-coding RNA of Micropterus dolomieu (smallmouth bass), 203 nucleotides long. RefSeq lists it as uncharacterized. The record is from RefSeq and is a predicted model, not a curated record. NCBI's taxonomy places the organism in Eukaryota, Metazoa, Chordata, Actinopteri, Centrarchiformes, Centrarchidae. The transcript is spliced from 3 exons.